Molecule: ribosomal RNA, 468 nt
Filed under: uncultured bacterium
Lineage: Bacteria
Description: partial 16S ribosomal RNA
Rfam family: Bacterial small subunit ribosomal RNA
Source: RNAcentral
GACGAACGCUGGCGGCGUGCUUAACACAUGCAAGUCGAACGGAAAGGCCCUGCUUUUGUGGGGUUCUCGAGUGGCGAACGUGUGAGUAACACGUGAGUUACCUGCCCUUGACUUUGGGAUAUCUUCAGGCAACUGGGGCUAAUACCCGAUAGGUGCUCCUGCUGCAUGGUGUGGUUUGGUAAGUUUCGGCGGUUGGGGAUGUACUCGCCGCUUAUCAGCUUGUUUGUGAGGUAGUGGCUUACCAAGGCUUUGACGGGUAGUCGGCUUGAGAGGGUGAACGGCCAGAUUGGGAGUGAGAGACGGAGCAGACUACUAGGGGAGGCAGCAGGGGGGAAGAUUGCACAAGGAGAGGAAGGCUGAUGCAACAACGGAGCGAGCGGGAUGACGGCAUUCGGGUUGUAAACAGCUUUGGACUGAGACGAAGGGAGAGUGACGGUAAUGGGUAAAGAAGCACCGGCUAACUACGUG